UGAGAAUUGGUGUCUGGCAUCCUGUCUGU
RNAcentral lists this non-coding RNA (29 nucleotides) under Mus musculus (house mouse). Lineage: Eukaryota; Metazoa; Chordata; Mammalia; Rodentia; Muridae. The record is from RNAcentral.